AUUAGAUACCCGGGUAGUCCUAGCCGUAAACGAUACUCGCUAGGUGUCGGCCACGGUGCGACCGUUGUCGGUGCCGUAGGGAAGCCAUGAAGCGAGCCACCUGGGAAGUACGGCCGCGAGGCUGAAACUUAAAGGAAUUGGCGGGGGAGCACCACAACGGGUGGAGCUUGCGGUUUAAUUGGAUUCAACGCCGGAAAUCUUACCGGGACCGACAGCAAUAUGAAGGCCAGGCUGAAGACUUUGCCGGAUUAGCUGAGAGGAGGUGCAUGGC
Molecule: ribosomal RNA, 271 nt
Filed under: uncultured archaeon
Lineage: Archaea
Description: partial 16S ribosomal RNA
Rfam family: Archaeal small subunit ribosomal RNA
Source: RNAcentral